CGGCGGACGGGUGAGUAACGCGUGGGUAACCUGCUCAUACAGGGGGAUAACAGUUGGAAACGGCUGCUAAUACCGCAUAAGCGCACAGUACCGCAUGGUACGGUGUGAAAAACUCCGGUGGUAUGAGAUGGACCCGCGUCUGAUUAGGUAGUUGGUGGGGUAACGGCCUACCAAGCCGACGAUCAGUAGCCGACCUGAGAGGGUGACCGGCCACAUUGGGACUGAGACACGGCCCAA
Molecule: ribosomal RNA, 237 nt
Filed under: uncultured bacterium
Lineage: Bacteria
Description: partial 16S ribosomal RNA
Rfam family: Bacterial small subunit ribosomal RNA
Source: RNAcentral